RNAcentral lists this small nucleolar RNA (104 nucleotides) under Arabidopsis thaliana (thale cress). RNAcentral describes it as "small nucleolar RNA SnoR24-pseud". The stretch from base 63 to 100 matches the Rfam family "Small nucleolar RNA R24", at positions 50 to 87 of the family's 92-position model. Lineage: Eukaryota; Viridiplantae; Streptophyta; Magnoliopsida; Brassicales; Brassicaceae. The record is from RNAcentral.
CAUGUGCAAUUAUGUAUCUAGAUUUAUGUAUGAAUUUAGUCGUUUAUGUACAACUGGUACGUUUCUUCAAUGAAAUACAUUUGUUACGCUUGACUUCUAAGCUA